GAGGAAGUAAAAGUCGUAACAAGGUCUCCGUUGGUGAACCAGCGGAGGGAUCAUUACAAGAAGCCGAAAGGCUACUUCAAACCAUCGCGAACUCGUCCAAGUUGCUUCGGCGGCGCGGCACCCCUUAACGGGGGCGCCGCAGCCCUGCCUCUCCGGAGGUUCGGGGCGCCCGCCGGAGGUACGAAACUCUGUAUUAUAGUGGCAUCUCUGAGUAUAAAACAAAUAAGUUAAAACUUUCAACAACGGAUCUCUUGGUUCUGGCAUCGAUGAAGAACGCAGCGAAAUGCGAUAAGUAAUGUGAAUUGCAGAAUUCAGUGAAUCAUCGAAUCUUUGAACGCACAUUGCGCCCGGUAGUACUCUACCGGGCAUGCCUGUUCGAGCGUCAUUUCAACCCUCAAGCCCUGCUUGGUGUUGGGGCCCUACGGCUGCCGUAGGCCCUGAAAGGAAGUGGCGGGCUCGCUACAACUCCGAGCGUAGUAAUUCAUUAUCUCGCUAGGGAGGUUGCGGCGUGCUCCUGCCGUUAAAGACCCAUCUUUAACCAAGGUUGACCUCGGAUCAGGUAGGAAUACCCGCUGAACUUAAGCAUA
RNAcentral lists this ribosomal RNA (587 nucleotides) under Coniochaeta sp. MAB-2010a. RNAcentral describes it as "eukaryotic LSU rRNA". The stretch from base 232 to 385 matches the Rfam family "5.8S ribosomal RNA". The record is from RNAcentral. Lineage: Eukaryota; Fungi; Ascomycota; Sordariomycetes; Coniochaetales; Coniochaetaceae.